RNAcentral lists this ribosomal RNA (1362 nucleotides) under uncultured bacterium. Its description in RNAcentral is "bacterial SSU rRNA". It matches the Rfam family "Bacterial small subunit ribosomal RNA", at positions 28 to 1381 of the family's 1533-position model. The record is from RNAcentral.
AUUGAACGCUGGCGGCAGGCUUAACACAUGCAAGUCGAGCGGUAACAGGGGGUGCUUGCACCCCGCUGACGAGCGGCGGACGGGUGAGUAAUGCUUAGGAAUCUGCCCAGUAGUGGGGGAUAGCCCGGGGAAACCCGGAUUAAUACCGCAUACGUCCUACGGGAGAAAGCAGGGGAUCUUCGGACCUUGCGCUACUGGAUGAGCCUAAGUCGGAUUAGCUAGUUGGUGGGGUAAAGGCCUACCAAGGCGACGAUCCGUAGCUGGUCUGAGAGGAUGAUCAGCCACAUCGGGACUGAGACACGGCCCGAACUCCUACGGGAGGCAGCAGUGGGGAAUAUUGGACAAUGGGGGCAACCCUGAUCCAGCCAUGCCGCGUGUGUGAAGAAGGCUUUCGGGUUGUAAAGCACUUUCAGCGAGGAGGAAGGCUCUGAAGUUAAUACCCUCAGGGAUUGACGUUACUCGCAGAAGAAGCACCGGCUAACUCCGUGCCAGCAGCCGCGGUAAUACGGAGGGUGCAAGCGUUAAUCGGAAUUACUGGGCGUAAAGCGCGCGUAGGUGGUUAGGUAAGCGAGAUGUGAAAGCCCCGGGCUUAACCUGGGAACGGCAUUUCGAACUGUCUGACUAGAGUGUGGUAGAGGGUAGUGGAAUUUCCUGUGUAGCGGUGAAAUGCGUAGAUAUAGGAAGGAACACCAGUGGCGAAGGCGGCUACCUGGACCAACACUGACACUGAGGUGCGAAAGCGUGGGGAGCAAACAGGAUUGGAUACCCUGGUAGUCCACGCCGUAAACGAUGUCAACUAGCCGUUGGGACUCUUGAAGUCUUAGUGGCGCAGCUAACGCACUAAGUUGACCGCCUGGGGAGUACGGCCGCAAGGUUAAAACUCAAAUGAAUUGACGGGGGCCCGCACAAGCGGUGGAGCAUGUGGUUUAAUUCGACGCAACGCGAAGAACCUUACCUGGCCUUGACAUCCAGAGAACUUUCCAGAGAUGGAUUGGUGCCUUCGGGAACUCUGAGACAGGUGCUGCAUGGCCGUCGUCAGCUCGUGUCGUGAGAUGUUGGGUUAAGUCCCGUAACGAGCGCAACCCCUAUCCCUGGUUGCUAGCAGGUAAUGCUGAGAACUCCAGGGAGACUGCCGGUGACAAACCGGAGGAAGGUGGGGAUGACGCCAGGUCAUCAUGGCCCUUACGGCCAGGGCUACACACGUGCUACAAUGGCGCGUACAGAGGGCUGCCAACUCGCGAGAGUGCGCCAAUCCCUUAAAACGCGUCGUAGUCCGGAUCGGAGUCUGCAACUCGACUCCGUGAAGUCGGAAUCGCUAGUAAUCGCGAAUCAGAAUGUCGCGGUGAAUACGUUCCCGGGCCU